GGACGAACGCUGGCGGCGUGCUUAACCCAUGCAAGUCGAACGGUAAGGCCUUUCGGGGUCCACGAGUGGCGAACGGGUGAGUAACACGUGGGUGAUCUGCCCUGCACUUCGGGAUAAGCCCGGGAAACUGGGUCUAAUACCGGAUAGGACUGCGCGGUGCAUGCCGUGUGGUGGAAAGAUUUAUCGGUGCAGGAUGGGCCCGCGGCCUAUCAGCUUGUUGGUGGGGUAAUGGCCUACCAAGGCGACGACGGGUAGCCGGCCUGAGAGGGCGACCGGCCACACUGGGACUGAGACACGGCCCAGACUCCUACGGGAGGCAGCAGUGGGGAAUAUUGCACAAUGGGCGCAAGCCUGAUGCAGCGACGCCGCGUGAGGGAUGACGGCCUUCGGGUUGUAAACCUCUUUCAGCAGGGACGAAGCGUGAGUGACGGUACCUGCAGAAGAAGCACCGGCCAACUACGUG
Molecule: ribosomal RNA, 463 nt
Filed under: uncultured bacterium
Lineage: Bacteria
Description: partial 16S ribosomal RNA
Rfam family: Bacterial small subunit ribosomal RNA
Source: RNAcentral